GAUGAACGCUGGCGGCGUGCUUAACACAUGCAAGUCGAACGAGAAGUGAAGACGGAAACCUUCGGGCGGAAGGCUUUAUUUCGAGUGGCGGACGGGUGAGUAACGCGUGGGUAACCUGCCUCAUACAGGGGGAUAACAGUUGGAAACGACUGUUAAUACCGCAUAAGACCACAGCACCGCAUGGUGCGGGGGUAAAAACUCCGGUGGUAUGAGAUGGACCCGCGUUCGAUUAGCCAGUUGGCGGGGUAACGGCCCACCAAAGCGACGAUCGAUAGCCGAUCUGAGAGGAUGACCGGCCACAUUGGGACUGAGACACGGCCCAAACUCCAACGGGAGGCAGCAGUGGGGAAUAUUGCACAAUGGGGGAAACCCUGAUGCAGCGACGCCGCGUGAGUGAAGAAGUAUUUCGGUAUGUAAAGCUCUAUCAGCAGGGAAGAAAAUGACGGUACCUGAGUAAGAAGCCCCGGCUAACUACGUG
RNAcentral lists this ribosomal RNA (478 nucleotides) under uncultured bacterium. Its description in RNAcentral is "partial 16S ribosomal RNA". It matches the Rfam family "Bacterial small subunit ribosomal RNA", at positions 28 to 507 of the family's 1533-position model. The record is from RNAcentral.